RNAcentral lists this ribosomal RNA (497 nucleotides) under uncultured bacterium. Its description in RNAcentral is "partial 16S ribosomal RNA". It matches the Rfam family "Bacterial small subunit ribosomal RNA", at positions 28 to 507 of the family's 1533-position model. The record is from RNAcentral.
GAUGAACGCUGGCGGCGUGCCUAAUACAUGCAAGUCGAGCGAACAGACGAGGAGCUUGCUCCUCUGACGUUAGCGGCGGACGGGUGAGUAACACGUGGAUAACCUACCUAUAAGACUGGGAUAACUUCGGGAAACCGGAGCUAAUACCGGAUAAUAUAUUGAACCGCAUGGUUCAAUAGUGAAAGACGGUUUUGCUGCCACUUAUAGAUGGAUCCGCGCCGCAUUAGCUAGUUGGUAAGGUAACGGCUUACCAAGGCGACGAUGCGUAGCCGACCUGAGAGGGUGAUCGGCCACACUGGAACUGAGACACGGUCCAGACUCCUACGGGAGGCAGCAGUAGGGAGUCUUCCGCAAUGGGCGAAAGCCUGACGGAGCAACGCCGCGUGAGUGAUGAAGGUCUUCGGAUCGUAAAACUCUGUUAUUAGGGAAGAACAAAUGUGUAAGUAACUAUGCACGUCUUGACGGUACCUAAUCAGAAAGCCACGGCUAACUACGUG